Molecule: long non-coding RNA, 2090 nt
Organism: Dromaius novaehollandiae (emu)
Lineage: Eukaryota; Metazoa; Chordata; Aves; Casuariiformes; Dromaiidae
Source: Ensembl
CGUCCGGCAGCGCCGCCAGGAACGAGGGGUCGACGCCCUCGGGGAGGCUGAUCCCUGUGCCCGCAGGGCCACCCGAGGGGACCGGCGUCACUGACGCGCAGCAGGGACGCGGCGGGGACACGCGGCGGGGAUGCACGCGGGUCACAGAGACGCGGCGGGAACAGGCGCGUGCCAGAGAUGCACGUGCAUGCAUCAGGGAUGCUUUGGGAGCGUGCACAAGUCACGGACACACGUUACGGACGUGUUGGGGACACGUGUGUCGGGGACACCUACCAGAGACGCACCUGGGACACGCCCACCCACCAGGGACGCGUGCCAGGGACACGCACACACUAGAGACAUGCACGUGUCAGGGACACGCGUCAGGGACACGCGUCAGGGACACGCGUCAGGGACACGCGGGAGGCCUCAAGGGAAGAGGAGAAGCGAUAGGGAGCAGGCGCGUGGCGGGGACUGAGCCCUGAGGGAGGCUCAUCCCAGCGGCAGGGGUGGGGGCCGCGGCGGGGGCUGCGGACAUGGCGGCAGUGGGGCUCACCGGCGAGCGGGUCCUCCUCCUCGCUGCUGGUGGAGGGCAGCGGUUCUUCCAGGAUGCCCCGCGAGUCAGCGCCCGAGAUGGCGGCGGCCGAGUCCCGCGUGGACGAGCUCUCCGAGGAGGAGGCAGGCGGCGAGCUGAGGCGGGGGGGGGAACGGCAUCAGCAGGGAUGUGCGGAGCCGCCCCCCCGGAGCAGGGCCCAGGCGCCCAGGGCGCUCACCUGUCAUCGGGCGGGUGGGCGGUGUCGGGGGGUGCCGGGGGGGCAGAGGGGGGAGGCCCUGGCGGUGCCCCAGCCCCCGCGGCGGCAGCGGCGGCCUCCUCCAGGGCGCAAGAGGCGAUGCUAGAGGUGUCCAUGGGCGAGCCCUCCAGCUGGCUGCUCCCCGCCGUCAGCGCGUCUGAGUCCUCCGCGCGCUCCGGCGACAGCGAGGCUGCAAGGGGCAGCGGCCAUCAGCAGCUGCCCCCGGCACUGCCUGCCCGCCCGCUGCCCGCGGCGGGGCCCAGGCAUCCGGCACUCACUGACGGUGGGGGCAGGCGACAGCUCCAUCUGGGUGGCCUCGGCGUCAGGCCUCCAUGGCGUGCUCCCGCGUGAAACCCAUGUCCAUCAGCUGCAGGGGCACAAGGAGGGGGACAGAGAGGGGGACGGGAGCACGGCCGUCACCACCUGAGGCGUGGGACAGCCGCCCCGCUCUCCAGCGCGUCCGGCUCCUUCCCCAGCGCCCCCCGCCCCGACCAGAGCCAGCGCCAGAGCCAGAGCCAGCGCGGGGGGGCCCGGCCACCCUACGGGUGUCCCCCGCCGCGUCCCCACCUGCUGCAGCUGCUGCUGGUUGACCUGGGGCUCGCGACGGGGGCCGGCGUCAUCAGCACCAGGCUCCUCCUCGCCCCUCGGCCCCUCGCGCUCCCGGCCCAGGCGUUCCCGGAUGAGAGGCUCGCCCCGCAGGAUGUGGCACAGGAUGGCCAACAUGGACUCCGCCAUGCGGCCCCCGUACACCUUCAGYGGGCGCCGGUUCCACAGCUGCUUGAUGCACGUGAACGCUGCCUGCAGGGCGCAGGGUUAGGGGGGCCCGGGGCACCCUGCGUCCCCCCCUCCUCUCCCCCAAGUCCCCACGGUGCCCUCUGCGUCUCCCCCACAUCCCCCCGCAUCGCCACAGUCCCCUCCGCAUCUCCCCCAAGUCCCCCCGUGUCUCUCAUAUCUCCGCAUGGCCCUGCAGUGCUAAGUCCCUCCCACGUCCUUGCAGUCCCCCCGCAUCCCCCUGAGCCCCCCCGCACCUUCUGGGUGACGACCAGGAAGCGCAGGGCGCUGAAAUGGGGCUGCCCAGGCCCCGGCGCCUUGGCAGGCAGCGCGUGUGGCGACUCCAGCACGGUGCUGGGGUUCACCAUCUUCUCCACCAGCAUGAGCCAGGCGUCCAGGAACUCGCCGGUGCCGUCCGGCAGCUCGGGGUGCUCCAGUCCCUCCGCCACUGGCACCUUCCCCCCCAUCGACAGCGCCCAGUUGAAGGUCCUGGGGGCAGGGGUGAGUGAUCAGCUGGGGGGGGCUCCGGCGUCCGGCCCCCUCCCUCCC